UGGUGGUGGUGUAAGGUGCUUCUUUGAAUAUAUGGUAUUUUUUUCCAAUUAUAUUUAGUUUUCAGGUUCAAUUUUCCUCUAAAUUUCAAUUAGGUUCAGUUUUUAUUUAUUAACGAAUUUGGAUAUUGAUCAUCUAAUAGUGGAAGUGGUAAGAAAGCUAUAUGCAUCUUUUUAUCCUACUGAUUUUUUCAAUUUUUGUUUAUAUGUUAAUGUCUUUUUUGUUUCAUAUGUUAAUGACUUUCACUAUCNN
RNAcentral lists this long non-coding RNA (250 nucleotides) under Trifolium pratense (red clover). RNAcentral describes it as "long non-coding RNA (TPRA_LNC007805)". The record is from RNAcentral. Lineage: Eukaryota; Viridiplantae; Streptophyta; Magnoliopsida; Fabales; Fabaceae.